Molecule: ribosomal RNA, 468 nt
Filed under: uncultured bacterium
Lineage: Bacteria
Description: partial 16S ribosomal RNA
Rfam family: Bacterial small subunit ribosomal RNA
Source: RNAcentral
GACGAACGCUGGCGGCGUGCUUAACACAUGCAAGUCGAACGGAAAGGCCCUGCUUUUGUGGGGUGCUCGAGUGGCGAACGGGUGAGUAACACGUGAGUAACCUGCCCUUGACUUUGGGAUAACUUCAGGAAACUGGGGCUAAUACCGGAUAGGAGCUUCUGCUGCAUGGUGGGGGUUGGAAAGGUCCGGCGGUUGGGGAUGGACUCGCGGCUUAUCAGCUUGUUGGUGGGGUAGUGGCGUACCAAGGCUUUGACGGGUAGCCGGCCUGAGAGGGUGACCGGGCACAAUGGGACUGAGAUACGGAGCAGACUCCUACGGGAGGCAGCAGUGGGGAAUAUUGCACAAUGGGCGGAAGCGUGAUGCAGAAACGCCGCGUGCGGGAUGACGGCCUUCGGGUUGUAAACCGCUUUCGCCUGUGACGAAGCGUGAGUGACGGUAAUGGGUAAAGAAGCACCGGCUAACUACGUG